GAUGAACGCUGGCGGCGUGCCUAAUACAUGCAAGUCGAGCGAACGGACGAGAAGCUUGCUUUUCUGAUGUUAGCGGCGGACGGGUGAGUAACACGUGGAUAACCUACCUAUAAGACUGGGAUAACUUCGGGAAACCGGAGCUAAUACCGGAUAAUAUUUUGAACCGCAUGGUUCAAAAGUGAAAGACGGUCUUGCUGUCACUUAUAGAUGGAUCCGCGCUGCAUUAGCUAGUUGGUAAGGUAACGGCUUACCAAGGCAACGAUGCAUAGCCGACCUGAGAGGGUGAUCGGCCACACUGGAACUGAGACACGGUCCAGACUCCUACGGGAGGCAGCAGUAGGGAAUCUUCCGCAAUGGGCGAAAGCCUGACGGAGCAACGCCGCGGGAGUGAUGAAGGUCUUCGGAUCGUAAAACUCUGUUAUUAGGGAAGAACGUAUGUGUAAGUAACUGUGCACAUCUUGACGGUACCUAAUCAGAAAGCCACGGCUAACUACGU
This 496-nucleotide ribosomal RNA is filed under the name uncultured bacterium. RNAcentral's name for it is "partial 16S ribosomal RNA". It matches the Rfam family "Bacterial small subunit ribosomal RNA", at positions 28 to 506 of the family's 1533-position model. The record is from RNAcentral.